CCACCACCAAAGCAUUCUCUGGUGUUGAAGGCCCUGCAAAGCAGCAUCGCGGUGGCGGAGCGUCGUUUGCGACGCCCAACACACAAAACAAGCGGUGAAUGCUUUGGGGUGGGGUGACUGCGUACCUUUUGUAUAAUGGGUCAGCGACUUAUAUUCUGUAGCAAGGUUAACCGAAUAGGGGAGCCGGAGGGAAACCGAGUCUUAAUUGGGCGUUAAGUUGCAGGGUAUAGACCCGAAACCCGGUGAUCUAGCCAUGGGCAGGUUGAAGGUUGGGUAACACUAACUGGAGGACCGAACCGACUAAUGUUGAAAAAUUAGCGGAUGACCUGUGGCUGGGGGUGAAAGGCCAAUCAAACCGGGAGAUAGCUGGUUCUCCCCGAAAGCUAUUUAGGUAGCGCCUCGUGAAUUCAUCUCCGGGGGUAGAGCACUGUUUCGGCUAGGGGGCCAUCCCGGCUUACCAACCCGAUGCAAACUGCGAAUACCGGAGAAUGUUAUCACGGGAGACACACGGCGGGUGCUAACGUCCGUCGUGAAGAGGGAAACAACCCAGACCGCCAGCUAAGGUCCCAAAGUCAUGGUUAAGUGGGAAACGAUGUGGGAAGGCCCAGACAGCCAGGAUGUUGGCUUAGAAGCAGCCAUCAUUUAAAGAAAGCGUAAUAGCUCACUGGUCGAGUCGGCCUGCGCG
This 685-nucleotide ribosomal RNA is filed under the name Salmonella enterica subsp. enterica serovar Typhimurium. RNAcentral's name for it is "partial 23S ribosomal RNA". The stretch from base 88 to 685 matches the Rfam family "Bacterial large subunit ribosomal RNA", at positions 566 to 1165 of the family's 2925-position model. The record is from RNAcentral. Lineage: Bacteria; Pseudomonadati; Pseudomonadota; Gammaproteobacteria; Enterobacterales; Enterobacteriaceae.